UUCCGGUUGAUCCUGCCGGAGGCCAUUGCUAUCGGAGUCCGAUUUAGCCAUGCUAGUCGAGCGAGGUUAGCCCUCGCGGCGAACAGCUCAGUAACACGUGGCCAAGCUACCCUGCAGAGGGGGACAGCGUCGGGAAACUGACGGGAAUCCCCCAUACCGGUCUCACGCUGGAAUGCCGAGACCGACAAACGCUCCGGCGCUGCAGGAUGCGGCUGCGGCCGAUUAGGUAGUCGGUGGGGUAACGGCCCACCGAGCCGAUAAUUGGUACGGGGUGUGAGAGCACGAGCCCGGAGACGGAAUCUGAGACAAGAUUCCGGGCCCUACGGGGCGCAGCAGGCGCGAAACCUUUACACUGCACGAAGGUGCGAUAAGGGGACUCCGAGUGCGAGGGCAUACAGUCCUCGCUAUUGUGUACCGUAGGGUGGUACACGACCAAGAGCUGGGCAAGACCGGUGCCAGCCGCCGCGGUAAUACCGGCAGCUCGAGUGAUGGCCGAUUUUAUUGGGCCUAAAGCGUCCGUAGCUGGCCCUGCAAGUCCGUCGGGAAAUCCACUCGCCUAACGAGUGGGCGUCCGGCGGAAACUACAGGGCUUGGGACCGGAAGACUUGGGGGGUACGUCUGGGGUAGGAGUGAAAUCCUGUAAUCCUGGACGGACCGCCGAUGGCGAAAGCACCUCAAGACGACGGAUCCGACAGUGAGGGACGAAAGCUAGGGUCUCGAACCGGAUUAGAUACCCGGGUAGUCCUAGCCGUAAACGAUGUUCGCUAGAUGUGGCACAGGCUACGUGCCUGCGCUGUGUCGUAGGGAAGCCGAGAAGCGAACCGCCUGGGAAGUACGUCCGCAAGGAUGAAACUUAAAGGAAUUGGGCGGGGGAGCACUACAACCGGAGGAGCCUGCGGUUUAAUUGGAUUCAACGCCG
This 919-nucleotide ribosomal RNA is filed under the name uncultured archaeon. RNAcentral describes it as "bacterial SSU rRNA". It matches the Rfam family "Archaeal small subunit ribosomal RNA", at positions 1 to 920 of the family's 1478-position model. The record is from RNAcentral.